GAUGAACGCUAGCUACAGGCUUAACACAUGCAAGUCGAGGGGUAACGAGAGGAAAGCUUGCUUUCCUUGUCGACGACCGGCGCACGGGUGAGUAACGCGUAUCCAACCUGCCCCCAACUAGGGAAUAACCUUGCGAAAGUAAGACUAAUACCCUAUAAUUUCCUCAGAUGUCAUCUGACGAGGAAUAAAGAUUUAUCGGUUGUGGAUGGGGAUGCGUCUGAGUAGCUUGUUGGCGGGGUAACGGCCCACCAAGGCGACGAUCAGUAGGGGUUCUGAGAGGAAGGUCCCCCACAUUGGAACUGAGACACGGUCCAAACUCCUACGGGAGGCAGCAGUGAGGAAUAUUGGUCAAUGGGCGGAAGCCUGAACCAGCCAAGUAGCGUGCAGGAUGACGGCCCUAUGGGUUGUAAACUGCUUUUAUACAGGAAUAAAGUUAGCCACGUGUGGUUAUUUGUAGGUACUGUAUGAAUAAGGACCGGCUAAUUCCGUGCCAGCCGCCGCAGUAA
This 506-nucleotide ribosomal RNA is filed under the name uncultured bacterium. Its description in RNAcentral is "partial 16S ribosomal RNA". It matches the Rfam family "Bacterial small subunit ribosomal RNA", at positions 28 to 523 of the family's 1533-position model. The record is from RNAcentral.